UAGGGAAUAUUAGUAAUGGGCGAAAGCCUGAACUAGCAACACCGCGUGUGCGAAGAAGGCCUUCGGGUUGUAAAGCACUUUUUGAGAGGAUGAGGAAGGACAGUACUCUUAGAAUAAGCCUCGGCUAACUACGUGCCAGCAGCCGCGGUAAAACGUAGGAGGCGAACGUUAUCCGGAUUUACUGGGCGUAAAGCGCGUGUAGGUGGUUUGGUAAGUAGAGCGUGAAAGCUCCUGGCUCAACUGGGAGAGGUCGUUCUAAACUGCCGGACUAGAGGAUGGUAGAGGGAGGUGGAAUUCCGGGUGUAGCGGUGGAAUGCGCAGAUAUCCGAAGGAACACCAGUGGCGAAAGCGGCCUCCUGGACCACUCCUGACACUCAGACGCGAAAGCUAGGGUAGCAAACG
Molecule: ribosomal RNA, 402 nt
Filed under: uncultured prokaryote
Description: bacterial SSU rRNA
Rfam family: Bacterial small subunit ribosomal RNA
Source: RNAcentral